AGGGAAAUAGCUCAGUGGUGGAGCACAUGCUUAGCAUGCACAAGGUCCUGGGUUCAAUCCCCAGUACCUCCA
RNAcentral lists this transfer RNA (72 nucleotides) under Camelus bactrianus (Bactrian camel). It matches the Rfam family "tRNA". From Rfam's summary of the family: Transfer RNA (tRNA) molecules are approximately 80 nucleotides in length. Their secondary structure includes four short double-helical elements and three loops (D, anti-codon, and T loops). RNAcentral also lists the same sequence under 3 other names. The record is from Rfam by way of RNAcentral. Lineage: Eukaryota; Metazoa; Chordata; Mammalia; Artiodactyla; Camelidae.